AUUGAACGCUGGCGGCAGGCUUAACACAUGCAAGUCGAGCGGGGGAAGGUAGCUUGCUACCGGACCUAGCGGCGGACGGGUGAGUAAUGCUUAGGAAUCUGCCUAUUAGCGGGGGACAACAUCUCGAAAGGGGUGCUAAUACCGCAUACGUCCUACGGGAGAAAGCAGGGGAUCUUCGGACCUUGCGCUAAUAGAUGAGCCUAAGUCGGAUUAGCUAGUUGGUGGGGUAAAGGCCUACCAAGGCGACGAUCUGUAGCGGGUCUGAGAGGAUGAACCGCCACACUGGGACGGAGACACGGCCCAGACUCCUACGGGAGGCAGCAGUGGGGAAUAUUGGACAAUGGGGGGAACCCUGAUCCAGCCAUGCCGCGUGUGUGAAGAAGGACUUAUGGUUGUAAAGCACUUUAAGCGAGGAGGAGGCUACUUUAGUUAAUACCUAGAGAUAGUGGACGUUACUCGCAGAAUAAGCACCGGCUAACUCUGUGCCAGCCGCCGCGGUAA
This 501-nucleotide ribosomal RNA is filed under the name uncultured bacterium. RNAcentral describes it as "partial 16S ribosomal RNA". It matches the Rfam family "Bacterial small subunit ribosomal RNA", at positions 30 to 523 of the family's 1533-position model. The record is from RNAcentral.